Molecule: small RNA, 1496 nt
Filed under: Acaulospora spinosissima
Lineage: Eukaryota; Fungi; Glomeromycota; Glomeromycetes; Diversisporales; Acaulosporaceae
Description: eukaryotic LSU rRNA
Rfam family: Eukaryotic large subunit ribosomal RNA (bases 684-1496)
Source: RNAcentral
UCGCUCUUCAACGAGGAAUCCCUAGUAAGCGUGAGUCAUCAGCUCACGUUGAUUACGUCCCUGCCCUUUGUACACACCGCCCGUCGCUACUACCGAUUGAAUGGCUUAGUGAGACUCUCGGAUUGGUUUUAAUGAACCGGCAACGGUUCCUUCUUGCUGAGAAGUUUGUCAAACUUGGUCAUUUAGAGGAAGUAAAAGUCGUAACAAGGUUUCCGUAGGUGAACCUGCGGAAGGAUCAUUAGAAUUUCUUAAUUUAUUCAAAAAUUUCCAACCUUUUAUAAAUUUUAUAAAAAAAAAAGAAAUAAUAAGACAACUUUCAACAACGGAUCUCUUGGCUCUUGCAUCGAUGAAGAACGCAGCGAAAUGCGAUAAGUAAUGUGAAUUGCAGAAUUCCGUGAAUCAUCAAAUCUUUGAACGCAAAUUGCACUCUUUGGUAUUCCGAAGAGUAUGCUUGCUUGAGGGUUGUCCUAUUAAAUUCGUUUUAUUAAUACGGAUCUGAGUUUUCCAAAGUUUUUAAAAUUUUGGUAACUUUAAAUUUAUUUUAAUGAUAUUAUUAUAAUAUUAGAAAUAUUUUAUCUUGCAUGUUCGUGUAAGUUUUUAUUGAUAAUUAUUAUAAUUAAUCAUAUCAUAUUAUUUGCCUAAUUUUUUUUUUUUAAUUGGGUUAAGUAAUAUAAUUUUUUCUUCAACCUCAAGUCAAGUAAGAUUACCCGCUGAACUUAAGCAUAUCAAUAGGCGGAGGAAAAGAAACUAACAAGGAUUCCCUUAGUAACGGCGAGUGAAGUGGGAAGAGCUCAAAUUUUAAAUCACUAAGGUUUCACUUUAGUGAGUUGUAAUUUGAAGAAAGUGUUUUGAUAUUCGGGUUUAAUCUAAAUCCUUUGGGAUAAGGUAUCAUAGAGGGUGAGAAUCCCGUUCAUGAUUAAACCUUGGGUGUCACAUAAUUUACUUUCUAAGAGUCGAGUUGUUUGGGAUUGCAGCUCAAAAUGGGUGGUAAAUUUCACCUAAGGCUAAAUAUAUGCAAGAGACCGAUAGCGAACAAGUACCGUGAGGGAAAGAUGAAAAGAACUUUGAAAAGAGAGUUAAAUAGUACGUGAAAUUGUUGAAAGGGAAACGAUUAAAGUCAGUCAUGCUAGUAGGGAAUCAACCUGAUGGAUCGUAAGACUUAUCUUGUGAUCUUUCUUGUGUAUUUCCUUGCUUGGCAGGUUAGCAUCAAUUUCGUUCAUCAUUAAAAAAUCUCGGGAAUGUAGCUUUUCUUCGGGAAAGUAUUAUAGACCUUGAUAUAUGUGGUGAUCGAGAUUGAGGAUUGCAGCGGAUACCUUUUAAGGCUAGUCACCUGGCUUCUGACGGUUACCUCGCUUUCGAUAGCUCGCUAAUGAUUGUGGGAUUCGACAGUCUAGAACGUUAGAGUGAUCAUAAAUUCGCUAAGGAUGCUGACGUAAUGGCUUUAAACGACCCGUCUUGAAACACGGACCAAGGAGUCUAACAUGUAUGCGAGUGUU